UGGGGAAUUUUGCACAAUGGGGGAAACCCUGAUGCAGCGACGCCGCGUGAUUUAGAAGGCCUUCGGGUUGUAAAAAUCUUUUCUAUGGGAAGAAAAUGACAGUACCAUAGGAAUAAGGACCGGCUAAUUACGUGCCAGCAGCCGCGGUAAUACGUAAGGUCCGAGCGUUGUCCGGAAUCAUUGGGCGUAAAGGGUACGUAGGCGGGUAAGCAAGUUAGAAGUGAAAUCCUAUAGCUCAACUAUAGUAAGCUUUUAAAACUGCUCAUCUUGAGGUAUGGAAGGGAAAGUGGAAUUCCUGGUGUAGCGGUGAAAUGCGCAGAUAUUAGGAGGAAUACCGGUGGCGAAGGCGACUUUCUGGCCAUAACCUGACGCUGAGGUACGAAAGCGUGGGUAGCAAACAGG
RNAcentral lists this ribosomal RNA (402 nucleotides) under bacterium. RNAcentral's name for it is "partial 16S ribosomal RNA". It matches the Rfam family "Bacterial small subunit ribosomal RNA", at positions 355 to 776 of the family's 1533-position model. RNAcentral also lists the same sequence under 2 other names. The record is from RNAcentral.